GUGGAGCAAGUAGUGACUGUCCUGCGCUCGAGACAGCUGUGAAGCGGAUCCUGAUAGCUGCUGCCAGGGUUCCACGUCAACAUUGGAGCGUGCAGCAGCUGGAGCUCGGGUCCGCUAUCAUUUGCAACAGCAGCACCGACAGCAUGGAGCUUUCCCGAGGACUGGAGCCAACCCUCUACACUGUCAAAGCCAUUUUUAUUCUGGAUAAUGAUGGGAACCGUCUUUUGGCUAAGUACUACGAUGACACAUACCCCUCGACGAAGGAGCAGAAGAACUUUGAAAUGAACGUCUUCAAUAAAACUCACAAAACAGACUGUGAAAUUGCUUUUUUAGAAGGGAGGACAAUUGUAUACAAGAGCAGUGUCGACCUUUUCUUUUAUGUUGUGGGAAGCUCUGAUGAGAAUGAGCUGAUGCUGAUGGCUGUCUUGAACUGCUUGUUUGAAUCUUUCAAUUUGAUGUUGAGGAAAAACGUGGAGAAGCGUUACUUGCUGGAUAACUUAGAUGGAGCCUUUCUCCUGGUAGAUGAGAUUAUUGAUGGAGGAGUAAUUCUGGAGAGUGACGCACAGCAAGUUGUACAGAAGGUCAACUUUAGGACUGUCUCUGAGCCUGCAUAUGGUUUUGUACUUUUUGAUUACAUCACGGGUAGCUCUCAGCCUGCAGAUGUCCGACAGCAUCCAAAAUAAUGAACGUGUAACCAGGUUGAUGACAGCCCACUGUCUGAACAGAGCAUGGCACAGGUUUUGCAGUCCGCCAAAGAGCAGAUCAAAUGGUCAAUACUAAAAUGAGGAACUCCAGAUCUCCAGUUUUUACCAUGGAUUUUUCACCUUGCUUUUAAUAAUAAUAAUAAUAAUAAUUAUAGACUGUUUUGCAGUAAGAAGAGUGUGUAUAUACUUUUAACACAGCUGUAGCGUCCCUAUUUGAAUCACAUGGCUCAUUAAUAGAACAGUACUAAAUAAGAGUGGUCACUGAGCUUACAUAUCUGAAGUAUAGAGUCAAACCUACUGGAAGCAGUAGCUCACUGUACAAGUGUCCCUUGACAUUCCUGUUUUAUCCCCUUAAUGAUGACCAAUGAGGCCUAGAACUGUUAUGUUUAUGUAGGCCCUACAUCCAUGCCUUUCUGAUCCAGGAAGCUAGUAUUGGUUUAUAAGUCAAGGAGCAAAACAAAAAAAAUCCUCUCCUACAUGAGGUACAAAAAAAAAAAUCAUUUUCAACGUAAGGAAAAAAAAAACUCUUUCUCCUUUGAAAAAUGGUAUCAAGCCAACAGUGGCCUGCUACAGCUUAUACCACACUUAAAGCAGUGAAACCACCAGUGGCCUGCCACAGCUUAUACCACACUUGAAGCAGUGAAACCACCAGUGGCCUGCCACAGCUUAUACCACACUUGAAGCAGUGAAACCACCAGUGGCCUGCCACAGCUUAUACCACACUUGAAGCAGUGAAACCACUAGUGGCCUGCUGCAACUUAUACCAUACUUGAAGCAGUGAAACCACCAGUGGCCUGAAACAACUUAUAUCACACUUGAAGCAUUGAAGGGCUUCAGCCUUGGAAAUGCUGCAGCGACAUUUAUUUCUGAAUGUCAGUACUAGACUACCAAUAGUCAGCAUCUGGCGAUUAUAUCCUCUAAUACCUUGCACAUUUGCGUCACUGUUACUGCACCUCUGUUGACACUUGUAGCAAUGCUUAACCAUUAUGCUGUUACAUAGGUAAAGUUUACUCCACUCCAGCUGUCCCUUAGGAUUUAUCUGACUGCCCUACCUAUUGUGGUUUAAACUAAUGUAUUUAUAAGAGAAAGGGGUCCUCUGCAUGUUGUGAUGAGUUUGACAUUUUGCAGCAGUAACUGGAAGCUAUGAUGGUGGGCAGGGGGCAUUCGCAGAUGUGGUACUAAACUGUUUUGCAUCAUUGCAUGUCUUUUGCCAGGAAAAAUAGAUGCCAAUAGCUUAUUGGAGUGAUAGCUUCUGUUUUUGACUCUGCAGGAUUGACAGUUAAUUUGUUUUAAUUGUUAUCAUUUCUGUUAUUUAUAUUGGGCCCCAAUGUAAAUUGGCCCUGAGAGACAAAUCUCCUUGUUGAAAAAGGAUGCUAAAAGGCUCCCACCGGCGCUUAUUUCAUGAUGGGGAGGAUUGUGGUAAUGGAAAGGGGGUCACUGUGAUGGAGAAAGGUCAAGAAGGGUUAACUGAUGAUGUGGACCCAAUGCAAGAAACAAGUGUGCGUGUAAAUAUUGUUCCAUAACUUCCAGUCCACUCUUUCAGAAUGCACAUAGCCUCACAUAUCUGAUAUUUAUUUUUAUUUUCUUGAGAUGAAGUAAGAUCUGGAUGUUUUCAGUAGUUCCAUGGCAGUAUUUCAUCUUGUUUCAUGUGUUUAUUUACUGCUUUCUGUCUGUAUUUCAAAAAGGUUGCUGCAGCUUUAGAAGCUAUAUUGUUACUGAAAAAGUACACUUAUUUUUAAUAAACUUUUGUAACUUAAAGUUGA
Protopterus annectens (West African lungfish) is the source of this 2467-nucleotide RNA transcript. It is a transcript of the gene named COPI coat complex subunit zeta 2, with no coding region annotated. The transcript is spliced from 10 exons. NCBI's taxonomy places the organism in Eukaryota, Metazoa, Chordata, Ceratodontiformes, Protopteridae. The record is from RefSeq and is a predicted model, not a curated record.